GAUGAACGCUGGCGGCGUGCUUAACACAUGCAAGUCGAACGAAGCACUUUAUUUGAUUUCCGUCGUGACUGAUUAUCUUGUGACUGAGUGGCGGACGUGUGAGUAGCGCUGGGGUAACAUGCCUGGUACAGGGGGAUAAUAGUGGGUAACGGCUGCUAAUACCGCAGGAGGGCACAGCAUCGCAUGAUGCAGUGUGGAAAAGUCGGGUGGUCUAAGAGGGACCGGCGUAGGGUUAUCUAGAGGGUGAGGUAAGUGCCUACCAAGGCGACGAGCCAUAGCCGGGAUGUGAGGGUGACCCGACACAUUUGCAGUGAGCCACGGCCCAAACUACUACGGGAUGGAGCAGUGGGGAAUCCAGCACAGUGGGCGAAAGGCUGAUGCAGCUACGCCGCGUGAGCGCAGAAGUAUUGCGGUAUGUACAGCUCUAUAAGAAGGGAAGAUAAUGACGUUACCUGCAGAAGAAGCACCGGCUAAAUACGUG
Molecule: ribosomal RNA, 481 nt
Filed under: uncultured bacterium
Lineage: Bacteria
Description: partial 16S ribosomal RNA
Rfam family: Bacterial small subunit ribosomal RNA
Source: RNAcentral